AGUUCGGAUUGCAGUCUGCAACUCGACUGCAUGAAGCUGGAAUCGCUAGUAAUCGCGGAUCAGAAUGCCGCGGUGAAUACGUUCCCGGGUCUUGUACGCACCGCCCGUCACACCAUGGGAGUCAGUAACGCCCGAAGUCAGUGACCGAACCGAGAGGACGGAGCUGCCGAAGGCGGGACGGAUAACUGGGGUGAAGUCGUAACAAGGUAGC
This 211-nucleotide ribosomal RNA is filed under the name uncultured bacterium. RNAcentral describes it as "partial 16S ribosomal RNA". It matches the Rfam family "Bacterial small subunit ribosomal RNA", at positions 1290 to 1500 of the family's 1533-position model. The record is from RNAcentral.